This 84-nucleotide ribosomal RNA is filed under the name Vibrio parahaemolyticus VP-48. Lineage: Bacteria; Pseudomonadati; Pseudomonadota; Gammaproteobacteria; Vibrionales; Vibrionaceae. The record is from RNAcentral. RNAcentral also lists the same sequence under 3 other names.
UCCAUUCCGAACUCAGAAGUGAAACGAAAUAGCGCCGAUGGUAGUGUGGGGUUUCCCCAUGUGAGAGUAGGACAUCGCCAGGUU